GACGAACGCUGGCGGCGUGCUUAACACAUGCAAGUCGAACGGAAAGGCCCUGCUUUUGUGGGGUGCUCGAGUGGCGAACGGGUGAGUAACACGUGAGUAACCUGCCCUUGACUUUGGGAUAACUUCAGGAAACUGGGGCUAAUACCGGAUAGGAGCUCCUGCUGCAUGGUGGGGGUUGGAAAGUUUCGGCGGUUGGGGAUGGACUCGCGGCUUAUCAGCUUGUUGGUGGGGUAGUGGCUUACCAAGGCUUUGACGGGUAGCCGGCCUGAGAGGGUGACCGGCCACAUUGGGACUGAGAUACGGCCCAGACUCCUACGGGAGGCAGCAGUGGGGAAUAUUGCACAAUGGGCGGAAGCCUGACGCAGCAACGCCGCGUGCGGGAUGACGGCCUUCGGGUUGUAAACCGCUUUCGCCUGUGACGAAUCGUGAGUGACGGUAAUGGGUAAAGAAGCACCGGCUAACUACGUG
Molecule: ribosomal RNA, 468 nt
Filed under: uncultured bacterium
Lineage: Bacteria
Description: partial 16S ribosomal RNA
Rfam family: Bacterial small subunit ribosomal RNA
Source: RNAcentral